CUGGCCUCCUCACUGCCCUGAGGUAACCUUUACCCUGUUUCCAGGACUUGCUCUGUCCCCUGGGGCAGGGCUGUUCCUUGCUUGCGGAACAAGGGAGUCACCUCCUCCAGCCCAUGGUUCUAGAAGGAGCCAACCUGGGGCGUGCACCCCGGCCCACUCUACAUGGGCCUUGGAAGGCAGCUGGCAUAUGUCCUCCUCGUAAGGGACAAAGAUCCUGGUACCUUUGGAGUCUUCCAGCACAAUAGAGUCUCCUGGACGCUCCAUCCAUCUCUAUACAUACAUCUUCAGAAAACUCUGCUUUUGCCUCCUGCUGGCUCACAUCUGAUUCCCAUCCUUCAUCCUUCAAGCCAAGGACCCUCUUGCUGUUCCUGUGCAACCCUUCUGGGUCCUGGGACCCAGCCCGAGCCUGCCUCCAGGAGGAACCGUGAGGGAGGGAUGGAUGAAGGAGGAAGGCACCAGAGGCUGCCUAGUGCCGGCUGGAGGUGUUUCUGGAGCUUGUACGGCUGCCGCCACCCAGCACCGAAAUGGAUCUUGCCUUGUCCCUGCACCCCCACGUUGGUAACGUCCAGUGGGUUGGGACCCCGAUGGGCAGAGCCUGCAUCCCUGCCUGAGCUGCAAGAGAGUCUGAGAAGGAACUCAAGCUGGUGCCCAAGGAAGAUGUGCCGUGUAAGCAUCUCCAUCACCCCCGGCCCUUGUGCUUGAGGAAAUGCAGGGCCCUGGGCUAAUUACAGAGUGACAUUCAGAUGGAAUCUUGUGCCCAAAAUAUGAGAAAGCUUGAUUGUACAGUGUGUCGUCUGUUCCAUUUUUGUGUGGCUGAAGUCAGAACACACGUUCUAGGGGCCCUAGACUCCUGCAGGCCUGAGCGAGCCUGAGCAUAAGUCAGCAGCUUGGAAGGAGAUACGGGGAUUUAAGCAUGUAGUGAAUAUGCAAGCUAUAGAGUGGACAAUAAAACCAUGGAAACUGGAUUUUAGUAUCUACAAAACCUGACGGGUUUGAAGGUCAAGUGUCCACAGAGAAUUCGUAGCUCCAAGACACUUCAUGGCACAGGGAUGCGGAGAGAUUGCUAAUUGUGUGCUGCAAAAUCAUAAAGGUAAUAUUAAUGAGA
Long non-coding RNA from Canis lupus familiaris (dog), 1105 nucleotides. RefSeq lists it as uncharacterized. The transcript is spliced from 5 exons. NCBI's taxonomy places the organism in Eukaryota, Metazoa, Chordata, Mammalia, Carnivora, Canidae. The record is from RefSeq and is a predicted model, not a curated record.